This 783-nucleotide long non-coding RNA is filed under the name Gallus gallus (chicken). The record is from RNAcentral. Lineage: Eukaryota; Metazoa; Chordata; Aves; Galliformes; Phasianidae.
AGAGGGUGGAUUUAGACAGUGCAGCAGGUUGUGGAUGCCCCCGCCCUGUGAGCAACCUGGUGUGGUGGGAGGUGUCCCUGCCUCCAGCCGGGGAUGGAAGUGAAUGGUCUGAAAGGUCCCUUCCAACCCAAACCAUUCUAUGGCUCUUUGUAAACUGCAGGGAAUUGCAGAGGAGAAUGGCUUUAAGAAGCCAAUAGCACUAGAGAUGCAGUGUGCAUUUCAGAGAGCUCCUCUGUGCAGUGAGGACAGAGAGUGACUGAAACAAUACGACCUGGACAGAGAGUGGCCCAGAAUGAUGACAGAAUCAUAGAGGCACAGGGCUGGAAAGGACCUACAGGAUCAUCCCCUCCAACAGUCCUCCUAUCACCAUCACCACCGCUGAGCUCCUCAGCCUCAUCUCGUAGCACCUCAUCCACAAUGUCAGUGGUUUAUGGGCUGGUUCGGCCCGGUUCCGUGAGUAGCGGGGCAGAGGGACCCACAGAUCUGCACCCCAGAAAAGGGGAACAGGGAAAAGGAUAGCGAGAUGGGCCCAAAAACAACACGGCAGCAACGAUCUGAGGAGAAACAAAGUAAUUGACUAGAAACGACAUCGGGCUGCAAGAUAAUACACUGUAAUACAACAGCAGCACUGGCACAAGGUUGGUGGUGAUGGGAUCUCUCAUUGUGGGUGCACCUUUUGCUUCCAGAGGACGUAGUGGUCAGCUCUGCUGCAGACCCAGUGCUUGUGUAGGUGGCAAAGGGAUGAGCUGAUCCUGUCCCCGUUCAGGUACGCACAUCGGCCUC